Molecule: transfer RNA, 72 nt
Filed under: SAR324 cluster bacterium
Lineage: Bacteria; Deltaproteobacteria
Description: tRNA-Gly
Rfam family: tRNA
About the family: Transfer RNA (tRNA) molecules are approximately 80 nucleotides in length. Their secondary structure includes four short double-helical elements and three loops (D, anti-codon, and T loops).
Source: RNAcentral
GCUGGAAUAGCUCAGUGGUAGAGCACAACCUUGCCAAGGUUGGGGUCGCGGGUUCAACCCCCGUUUCCCGCU